Long non-coding RNA from Tachysurus fulvidraco (yellow catfish), 2175 nucleotides. RefSeq lists it as uncharacterized. The transcript has 3 exons. NCBI's taxonomy places the organism in Eukaryota, Metazoa, Chordata, Actinopteri, Siluriformes, Bagridae. The record is from RefSeq and is a predicted model, not a curated record.
UACUUUUGCAAGGCACUAUAUAUAUUCCAGGAAAAUCAAACUGAAGGUGAAAAGACUAGAUUCAUGGAUGAGUAUUUUUCCAUCAGUGAUUGUUUUAUUCUUUAAGAAUUACAGAUUUACAGUAUUACAUAAUUUCAUGUGAUGAAUACAUGUUUAACCCUAUAUAUGUAAAUAUCCCAUUCAUUUGUUUUAUAGAUUUUGCAGCAGACCAAGUUGAUUGUGGCUCAUUAAGCAGCUCAUAUGGAUUCCUUUAAAAUGUUCCUCUAUGUGUCAUGUGUUACCAUCAUCAUCCCAACGCUGAUGUCUGUUGUCAGUUGAUAAAACACACAUUCAAUGUCUUCUGUUAUUAAAGAAUGAUAGAAUUUCAUUAACAAGUUAUUUCACUUCUCAUAAUUUCUAGAAAACUGAAGUGAAAUUUGCUUAGCAACAAUACACUGGAAAAGCAAUUAGAAAAAAUAUAAAGUAAAAUAAACUGACAAAAGAAGAAAUAAAUCAAAAUAAAUCAUAAAUAAAAAGCAUCUAAAAAUCAUCUCCAACUUUAGAUAAAACAUUAAAUAUAAUACAAAAUUAAAAUAUCUACAAGACUUUCACAGUUUCAAUUAAAGUGGGUUUGGAAAUUUGAUUUGUAAUAAAGUUCACACCACUAUUGAUUCUAAAACACUUUUAUUUCUGUCAAUGUAAAAUGUCAUCCACCUUUUCACAAACGGUUCUUUAGGGAACACAGUGAAGAAUUAAAAAAGUAAAAAUGGUACAUGUGUUCAUCCUGUCAUUUACGGUUACUGUCAUGAGGAGGUUUCACCAUUUCUUCUAGUUUAUUUUCCAUAGCUUCCUUCUUCCUUGCUUUCUGUCUUUGUUGUCUUUUAUUUCAUUUCUCUCUUUUUGCUGCAUUAAUUUGUUUCUUUAUUGUAUUGGAUGAGAUUGUCACAUAAGGAUAACCAGAUGCAUGUUGUAUAGAAGUUACACAUGUAUGGCAGCCACUCUACUCCAAAAAUUUCUAUUAACCAUCCAAGACAUGUGUUAGAAAAUAAUCAUAAUUAAGCAUUCAGAGGUGCAGGAUAUAUUUAAUAGGAGUCAAAGCUUUAACAUAUACAGUAAGAGGAAGAUUAUUGUACUGUAACUAGCCAUAAUCUACAUACACAGUUAAAAAUGUACAUAAUGUAAACAAGAAUUUUUUUCUCGACUUACAAGGAAGUAGUCAAAAGCAUGUAGUGAAAAGGUUCAUUCUUUAAUUAACGUCUUGUUAGAGAAGCAAGUUUAUGGAUAAGACAGAAACUGCACACAUUCAUAUUUAUACUAUUUAAAGUUGGUUGUCUUGGACCUUGGACACACCCUUGGACCUUGGACACACCCUUGGACCUUGGACACACCCUUGGAACUUGGACACACCCUUGGACCUUGGACACAGCCCUUUCUUCUGGCUUUGGCACAGUAGCACGGCCAUAACAUGGAAACGUGUCACAAGUUAACUGUUCAAUAAAACACACAUGUACAGCUGCUCUUCGCCCACUGCAUCGGCAACCCUGAAGCGGUAGAGUGGAAAAGGCGGCGGUUCAGCACCUUGGCCAGCGGCACUAACCACGAGCUCCCGAUCUCCAGCACCGUGGCCAGCACCGCGGCAAGUGAGAGCGGGGCGGAGCGGCCGAAACUCCCGCCGAAAAUCACGGACCAAUCAGAGACAUCCAGCUGCCCCAGGACACCUCAUUGCCGAUUGAGCCUUCACUACGCUCUUGGAGAGGACCGCUUCACGGCUAUCCAGCCGCCCUCCUCCUGUUGUCUCGUUUGAGAGCCUGGAACUUUGCCUAUGCGCCCCCUACAGGAAGGAUGUGUUUUUGCUUUGACUGCCUUAUUAAUUUUCAUUCUGCUUUUAGUGGUUGAGAAAUUAAACUACAAAUAUUGGUCCAUGUAUGCAAAGCAUUACUCUAUGUAAAUAAUAAAAAAAAAGAUUGGUUUCAAUGCUAAUUGAUUCCUAUUGUUCAGCUGAUUUAUCUUGAAUUAGAUUCCAUAGAGACAUUUGCCAUCUUGACGUGGCCAAAGUGAAAAGCAGGUGAAAUGCUCUCAAUCUUCAAAUAUAAUACAUUUUCAACCAAUUGUAUUAUUGGAUGACUAUUUAUUUAUUUAUUAUUUUUUAUUAGUUGUUUGUGUUUGAUUAAAAUUAUUUAUUUAUUUUUUUCUGAG